Molecule: long non-coding RNA, 1661 nt
Organism: Oncorhynchus gorbuscha (pink salmon)
Lineage: Eukaryota; Metazoa; Chordata; Actinopteri; Salmoniformes; Salmonidae
Exons: 2
Source: RefSeq, a predicted model, not a curated record
UAUUUAAUACAUUUUAGAAUAAGGCUGUAAUGUAACAAAAUGUGGAAAAAGUCAAAGGGUCUGAACACUUUUCAAAUGCACUGUACAUAGCACUGAUAAAAAAUGUAAAAAAUCUGUACUGGCAUUAUGAAAUUAUGAGUUACAGGAAGGGAGGACACCACUUUAUCCUUGUAAGAUUGCCAAGAGAUUUAACUGGUGUCACACAUAUGCUGAGUGACUUUAUUUUAUUUCUUCAUUUUAUUCAGUACACUGUGUGAUAGCAAAACAACUGCUCAACUAUUAAACAUAUUUAUUGUCAUAUAUUUUGCCAAUAUAGCCCCCCCUAUUUGUACAAUGAUAUACUGUAUAUGAAAACAAGGAAUAGAAGGACACAAACACACUGUAAAUAAAGAUUGAUUGUAAAUAAUCCACUUAACUUCCCAGGUAUAUUUAACAUGUUAUAAUGUAAACAGUUAUUUGUGCAAAGCCAUUUCAACUCUUAUGGAGGAUUAUCUCCGCUCUGUGUUUGUUGGUUGAGUAUUAUUCUCUAGGUAGCUCUGAACUGCUUGUAACUCUAUCACUCCACUCUGAACUGACAUGGACUUUGUGCUAUCAGAGCACUCCAGCACAUACUCAUCACUGGUUCUUCUUCUGCAUUUCCCCCCACACAUCGUAGCAAAGCCCUUCCAAACCCUCUUGUUGACAAAGGCAUACACAAUGGGAUUUACAAAACCAUGGCUAUAGGCAAUGACCUCUGUAACCUGAAUGGCGAAAUCCAGAUGUAGGCUUGUGGCACAAUUAGAAAUCACAUGCAAGUGUUGCAAGGAGUGUAAAAAGGACACAGUGUUGUACGGGAACCAUAACACAAAAAAUACCACAACUACUAUCAUGACCAAUUUCAGACUCUUUCGUCUCGGUCCCACUUUAACCUUCGCUACAGCACAGCAGACUCGCAGGUAGCAGAAGAGCAUGAUCAGAAAAGGUGUGAGAAACCCAAAGACGUUCAGCUGAAACUUCAUGAGAAUCUUCCACAGAGGCAAGUGAUUUUCCUCUCCAAAAGGGUACAUGCAAAUCUUCUGGCCGUGAAACUCUUGUUCCUGAACGAAGGUCCAAUGUGGAGCUGUUCACAGCAGUUUAGACGGUACAAUGAUUCUCUACACUAUACUUGCUUGUUUUGUCACAUAAACUGAAAUUGGACAAACUAUUGGAAUUUUUGCGAUUUCUGCAUAGUAAAUCUUUAUGUAUUGUAUUUUACCAAUGAAAAAUAUGUGUUGCACCUUACUAUUGUCAAAUAGCCUUUACUUAUGAGUGCAAUAAAGCAACCCCUUAAUAGGUGGUAGUGACCUGUGACCUGAAAAUAGGAGAGGCUGCCUAAAUCUACCUAAAUCAGGAUCUCAAAAGAGAUCCUUAUGUGAUUUUUGUUUUCUGAUAGAAGCUUAAUAAAUUGAUAUUCUGUAAUAAAAUGGUCUCACAUAGCUAAUGGCUGAAUUGUUUAUACAGAGUAAGUAAUUGGGCAGUAGGCCUAUAAUCAUAACUUUGAUGGAACUGCAUUGAAGGCAUUAUUGUCUACAAGCUGCUGAAAUUUUACCCAUCUAUGUUAUAAGUCAUUCUCUCCCAAUGUUGAGUGCACUGGAACAUAUUCAUCAACAAUAGUGUGUGAAAUAAAUACUAAUUAUUAUUAA